CAGUAGCCGCGGGAAUACGUAGGUGGCAAGCGUCGUCCGGAAUUAUUGGGCGUAAAGGGCUCGCAGGCGGUUUCUUAAGUCUGAUGUGAAAGCCCCCGGCUCAACCGGGGAGGGUCAUUGGAAACUGGGAAACUUGAGUGCAGAAGAGGAGAGUGGAAAUCCACGUGUAGCGGUGAAAUGCGUAGAGAUGUGGAGGAACACCAGUGGCGAAGGCGACUCUCUGGUCUGUAACUGACGCUGAGGAGCGAAAGCGUGGGGAGCGAACAGGAUUAGAUACCCCCGUAGUCCCUGUCUCUUAUAC
RNAcentral lists this ribosomal RNA (301 nucleotides) under uncultured bacterium. RNAcentral describes it as "partial 16S ribosomal RNA". It matches the Rfam family "Bacterial small subunit ribosomal RNA", at positions 509 to 807 of the family's 1533-position model. The record is from RNAcentral.